RNAcentral lists this long non-coding RNA (295 nucleotides) under Gouania willdenowi (blunt-snouted clingfish). RNAcentral's name for it is "lncRNA (ENSGWIG00000020777.1)". The record is from RNAcentral. Lineage: Eukaryota; Metazoa; Chordata; Actinopteri; Blenniiformes; Gobiesocidae.
ACCAAACCACAGGCUGCAAAUGUCCCUCGCUCUAACACUCUAACGUCACUCUGCUGUGUUCACACUGUGAGCUGGUGACAGACACACAGACGCAGCUUCUUCUCUACAGCAGCAGCUGAAAAGGCUCUGAGCUGAUGUGAGACAUUAAGUGUAAGCUGGCUGACACGUCACACGCUGUCAGUGAGACGCUUCUGAGGAAGGAGAGAGACAUCACAGAAAGUGUCAAACAAAGGUAGCGCUGUCUGUCUCACACUCAUAUCUUCAGCUCAUCAUCUCAUGACGUGGAGAUGGAUCA